Molecule: ribosomal RNA, 578 nt
Filed under: uncultured bacterium
Lineage: Bacteria
Description: partial 16S ribosomal RNA
Rfam family: Bacterial small subunit ribosomal RNA
Source: RNAcentral
UAAGGAAUAUUGCUCAAUGGGAGAAAUCCUGAAGCAGCAACGCCGCGUGGAGGAUGAAGGGUUUUUAACUUGUAAACUCCUGUAAAGAAGGAAAAAAUUCCCAUUAGAUGGGAAAUGAUGGUACUUCUGGAGUAAGCCCCGGCUAACUACGUGCCAGCAGCCGCGGUAAUACGUAGGGGGCAAGCGUUGUCCGGAUUUACUGGGUGUAAAGGGUGCUCAGGCGGAUUUGUAAGUCAGAGGUGAAAUCUCACAGCUUAACUGUGAAACUGCCUUUGAUACUGCAAGCCUAGAGUAUGGAAGAGAGUGAUGGAAUAUCUGGUGUAGCAGUGAAAUGCGUAGAUAUCAGAUAGAACACCAAUGGCGAAGGCAGUCACUUGGUCCAUAACUGACGCUAAAGCACGAAAGCGUGGGUAGCAAACAGGAUUAGGUACCCUGGUAGUCCACGCCCUAAACGAUGAAUACUAGAUGUUGGCUUCGCAUGAAGUCAGUAUCUGAGCUAACGCAUUAAGUAUUCCACCUGGGAAGUACGAUCGCAAGGUUGAAACUCAAGGAAUUGACGGGGUCAUAGCUGUUUUCCA